GAUGAACGCUGGCGGCGUGCUUUAACACAUGCAAGUCGAACGAAGAAACCUUGAAUGAGAGCUUCGGCAGGAUUUCUUGGUAUCUUAGUGGCGGACGGGUGAGUAACGUGUGGGCAACCUGCCCUAUACUGGGGAAUAAUCACUGGAAACGGUGACUAAUACCGCAUGUCAUUGCGAGAGGGCAUCCUCUUGCAAGAAAAGGAGUAAUUCGGUAUAGGAUGGGCCCGCAUCUGAUUAGCUAGUUGGUGAGAUAACAGCCCACCAAGGCGACGAUCAGUAGCCGACCUGAGAGGGUGAUCGGCCACAUUGGGACUGAGACACGGCCCAAACUCCUACGGGAGGCAGCAGUGGGGAAUAUUGCACAAUGGGGAAACCCUGAUGCAGCAACGCCGCGUGAAGGAAGAAGGUUUUCGGAUCGUAAACUUCUAUCAACAGGGACGAAACAAAUGACGGUACCUGAAUAAAGAAAGCCCCGGCUAACUACGUGCCAGCCGCCGCCGU
This 501-nucleotide ribosomal RNA is filed under the name uncultured bacterium. RNAcentral's name for it is "bacterial SSU rRNA". It matches the Rfam family "Bacterial small subunit ribosomal RNA", at positions 28 to 521 of the family's 1533-position model. The record is from RNAcentral.